CCCUUAGAUGUCCUGGGCCGCACGCGCGCUACACUGACAUGUUCAACAAGCCUCCUAGUUCGACAGGAUUUGGGAAAUCUUUGAACGCAUGUCGUGAUAGGGAUAGAUCAUUGCAAUUAUUGAUCUUGAACGAGGAAUUCCUAGUAAACGCGAGUCAUCAGCUCGCAUUGAUUACGUCCCUGCCCUUUGUACACACCGCCCGUCGCACCUACCGAUUGAAUGUUUCGGUGAAGAUUCCGGAUAGGACUUUUUGAUUUAUUUCAAUUCUGUCUUAAAAGCUAUCUAAACCUCAACAUUUAGAGGAAGGUGAAGUCGUAACA
RNAcentral lists this ribosomal RNA (320 nucleotides) under uncultured eukaryote. RNAcentral describes it as "partial 18S ribosomal RNA". It matches the Rfam family "Eukaryotic small subunit ribosomal RNA", at positions 1470 to 1796 of the family's 1831-position model. The record is from RNAcentral.